RNAcentral lists this non-coding RNA (28 nucleotides) under Mus musculus (house mouse). The record is from RNAcentral. Lineage: Eukaryota; Metazoa; Chordata; Mammalia; Rodentia; Muridae.
UACUAGAUGGUUUAAGUAAGCCUGCAAC